This 145-nucleotide microRNA precursor is filed under the name Gossypium arboreum. Its description in RNAcentral is "MIR7502 microRNA precursor family". It matches the Rfam family "MIR7502 microRNA precursor family". The record is from Rfam by way of RNAcentral. Lineage: Eukaryota; Viridiplantae; Streptophyta; Magnoliopsida; Malvales; Malvaceae.
CAUUAAAAAUUUCAUCUAUUUCCACUAUUAAAAACUAGCAUGGUUAAUGAAAUAACUAAAUAGUUACAUAUGGCAUGCCAUGUAUACCUUAUUUUGAUGUACAAAGAACAAUUUUUAACAAUAAAAAUAGAUGAAUUUUUUGACA